This is a long non-coding RNA of Populus trichocarpa (black cottonwood), 1417 nucleotides long. RefSeq lists it as uncharacterized. The record is from RefSeq and is a predicted model, not a curated record. The transcript is spliced from 2 exons. NCBI's taxonomy places the organism in Eukaryota, Viridiplantae, Streptophyta, Magnoliopsida, Malpighiales, Salicaceae.
UUGAUGUUAUUUUCUGAAUGCCAAGCAGAUUGUUAUCAACUGGAAAUUUUUCUUCUUGUAGACUGCAUUGCAUUCAUCAGACAAUUGCUGUAGUCUUUGUUACUAGAAACUGAGUGCUGAUCAGUCAGUUUGUCGAAUGCAAGCCAUUAACCAACCUGAGCAAACUUGGAAGUUCAAUCUUGACUCUAGAGAAAAUCUCUUUGUUUUAUAAAAUCGGAAUAAUAUGAAGUCUAACGUUAAAAAUAACACGUAUGCUGUUCAUAUGAUGGCUGAAACCAACCACUCUAUAUAUAGAAAAAACCAAAUCAAACUCUUCAACUUGGUUAAAAAAAAUCCAAAAAAGUAAAAUAAUUAGAAAAUUAAAAAAAACAACAUCUCCAGAGUCUAUUUUGAGGUCUUCUUGACCUCAGUUAGUACAAGAGGGCUGGUUUGAGCUCGUAGAAUGUCCUGAAAAAAUUUAAAUCCCACCCAAUGAUCAAAUAAAAAGUUACAACUGUUUUUGUAAGAAAUCCCGUGUGACAUGUCUGGAUUUCUUCUUGAGCUUUAUCUUACUUAUCUAGUCACAGUGAAAUUUAGACACACAACUUCUAUACUACAAGGAGGUUGUUUGUAAACCUAAUUCAAUAUGUAGCUUUUUAUAUGGAUAUGAAAUUCAAAAAUUUUCUAGCCCUCCUCUAUCCUCUAAUGUUUCCUGUUGAACUGAACAAACUCAAGGUAAUAUAUGGCUAGCAUGAGUUGAAAUCUUUUGUGCACUCUUUCUGUGAUAAACCAGGUGAAGCUAAUCAUAUUCACUGGCUGGGAAACUUCUGAAAUAGUAGAUGUUAUUCAUGAUAUAAAGCACAUGAUGGGCGAUGUGUUGUUCCGGUUAGUCUUGGAGAUGGUUGCUUUUCGGCCGAGCAGAGCCAAAUUCCCUUGCUGUUGCAGACUGCAAGUGUGCCAUAGCCAUUCCUCAUGGCAAUGAUGGCUUCCUAGACUCCAAUCCAAUGCACUAUAUGGACUUGCUUGUGAGUUGCCUUAUAGUCCUAGAAGCUUGAAGAAAUGUUGUCUCCAAGGAGCGUAGCGUGAUGUCAAAUGACUUGAGAUUUGCACAGUAGAUCUCGAGUUCGAGUAAGGACAUGCAUCUCUUAUAAGAGCUUGGGACAGCCGGGGUUUUACUCGCUCACCUAAACCCACAAAAUACGCUUUCCGAGAACUGGAAUUUCCUCAUAAUCCAAAAAAAUAUAAUGUUAAGAUUAGUUUUAGUUUUCUGAGGUGAGGUCUAUGUAUGCAUUCCAAUUAAUGAUUUCGAUUCUCGUUCUUAUGUUGGGCAUAAAGAACUAGUAAUCAAAAUCAUCUUUCCAUUGCAUUGAUAUAUAUAUAUAUAUUUCGUUGUACAUCCUAUGCUGAUCUGAAUGUUCAAAUCCUUGAUUUUGUUCCA